Molecule: long non-coding RNA, 336 nt
Filed under: Spirodela polyrhiza (greater duckweed)
Lineage: Eukaryota; Viridiplantae; Streptophyta; Magnoliopsida; Alismatales; Araceae
Description: long non-coding RNA (SPOL_LNC001435)
Source: RNAcentral
AGGUAGGGCAUGUUGCAGGCCGCCGUCACCAGGAAGGUGGAGACCCAGUAGAUGGGCGCCGGCGCCAGCGCCUCCACGAGGAUCUUGUAGGCGUUCCGCGAGUAGAGCGGGGAGGUGAUGCCGUAGCCGAGCAGGAAGAGGUACCAGGUGGCGACGCUGCCCCACACGAAGAGGUGCUGGAUCCAGGUGAAGUGGCUCAUGGUGAGGGCGAUCUGGAUGUUGACCGCCCAGAUGAUGCAGGUGAACAUCGUCGUCCCCACCGCCGCCAUGUCCGCCGUCUGCCCGCCGGCCCGGAAGGCCUGGUUGUAGAAGAUGUUGAUGCUGAGGAAGAAUAUG